CCUACGGGGGGCAGCAGUGGGGAAUAUUGGACAAUGGGGGGAACCCUGAUCCAGCCAUGCCGCGUGUGUGAAGAAGGCCCUCGGGUUGUAAAGCACUUUCAGUGAGGAAGAACGCCUGGUGGUUAAUACCCAUCAGGAAAGACAUCACUCACAGAAGAAGCACCGGCUAACUCCGUGCCAGCAGCCGCGGUAAUACGGAGGGUGCGAGCGUUAAUCGGAAUUACUGGGCGUAAAGCGCGCGUAGGUGGCUUGAUAAGCCGGUUGUGAAAGCCCCGGGCUCAACCUGGGAACGGCAUCCGGAACUGUCAAGCUAGAGUGCAGGAGAGGAAGGUAGAAUUCCCGGCGUAGCGGUGAAAUGCGUAGAGAUCGGGAGGAAUACCAGUGGCGAAGGCGGCCUUCUGGACUGACACUGACACUGAGGUGCGAAAGCGUGGGUAGCAAACAGGAUUAGAUACCCUAGUAGUC
Molecule: ribosomal RNA, 465 nt
Filed under: Vreelandella stevensii
Lineage: Bacteria; Pseudomonadati; Pseudomonadota; Gammaproteobacteria; Oceanospirillales; Halomonadaceae
Description: partial 16S ribosomal RNA
Rfam family: Bacterial small subunit ribosomal RNA
Source: RNAcentral